This 586-nucleotide ribosomal RNA is filed under the name Schwanniomyces pseudopolymorphus. Its description in RNAcentral is "partial large subunit ribosomal RNA". It matches the Rfam family "Eukaryotic large subunit ribosomal RNA", at positions 55 to 657 of the family's 3401-position model. The record is from RNAcentral. Lineage: Eukaryota; Fungi; Ascomycota; Pichiomycetes; Serinales; Debaryomycetaceae.
GGAAAAGAAACCAACAGGGAUUGCCUCAGUAACGGCGAGUGAAGCGGCAAAAGCUCAAAUUUGAAAUCUGGCACCUUCGGUGUCCGAGUUGUAAUUUGAAGAAGGUAACUUUGGAGUUGGCUCUUGUCUAUGUUCCUUGGAACAGGACGUCACAGAGGGUGAGAAUCCCGUGCGAUGAGAUGUCCAACUCUAUGUAAAGUGCUUUCGAAGAGUCGAGUUGUUUGGGAAUGCAGCUCUAAGUGGGUGGUAAAUUCCAUCUAAAGCUAAAUAUUGGCGAGAGACCGAUAGCGAACAAGUACAGUGAUGGAAAGAUGAAAAGAACUUUGAAAAGAGAGUGAAAAAGUACGUGAAAUUGUUGAAAGGGAAGGGCUUGAGAUCAGACUUGGUAUUUUGCAAGCCUUACCUUCGUGGUGGGGUCCCCUGCAGUUUACUGGGCCAGCAUCGGUUUGGAUGGUAGGAUAAUGACUUGGGAAUGUGGCUUUGCUUCGGUAAAGUGUUAUAGCCCUUGUUGAUACUACCUGUCUAGACCGAGGACUGCGUCUUUGACUAGGAUGCUGGCAUAAUGAUCUUAAGUCGCCCGUCUUGA